Molecule: long non-coding RNA, 4786 nt
Organism: Sciurus carolinensis (gray squirrel)
Lineage: Eukaryota; Metazoa; Chordata; Mammalia; Rodentia; Sciuridae
Exons: 3
Source: RefSeq, a predicted model, not a curated record
GCAGGCUGGUGGGGCUGGGGCUGGCGCUUUCCUUGCCAGUCCCCCGGUGUUUCCUGGGGAUGUGAGUGACAGGUGUCUGAAUCACUGUGCUGCCAGGAGAUGUCUGCCGGCCUCAGGAUCAGAACAGCCUCCGCCCUGUCGGCGCUUCCCACAGCGCCCUGCUGAAGGGUCACUACGGUACUUUCAGCUUCAGGGUCGAUUUGCUUGGUCUUCAGCACAGGCUUUUUAGGAAGAAAAUCUGUGGUGAGCUACACAUUCUGGAGUGCACCGUUGUGACCGGGGUACACUCUGCAGGGUCAUCGCGCCCAUUCACGCUGGGGAGCCACCGCCGUUCCCUCCUGCCCGCGCCUGCCCCACUCCGUCCCUCCCCGUCACUGUGGAUCCGACUCCUCUGGGACCUCCUGUAGGCAGCAUCGUGUGCCUGGUGCUCUGGUGCCUUGGGCCCACCACGCCGUGACACUGGCCAGAGCUGUGCAGCCCACAGCGUCCCAUCCCGUGGCCGGCCGGUGGACAUCAGGGUCAGCUGCCUCGGAGAGGGCGUGGGUGACUCACCUGCUUGCGGAGGGAGGACUUGCAGCCGCUUUCCUCUUCCAGGUCACAGGGAAGAGGUGUGUUUUUGCGGGGGCGUGUCCCGGCUGACCUUGAUGACGCGUCACAGCACGUUCUGCAGACCGCUGGCCCCCAGAGGCCCCCGCUGCCGUGGUGUUGCUUGAAAACAGUUGAGCUCGGUGUUUUAACGACUCUUAUCGUGACACCUAAGCACCACUGACCUUUGAGCGGCCUUUCCAGGCCAAGCAUCUUCCCGGUUUCCUGCUGAUUUGAAAGUUGGCGGCCUUAGGACCACUCGCUGUAUGGAGCUGAGCCGUGUGCCCCACACAUUCCUGAUUUAAGAGCAGGAUCGCUGCCCCACGCCUGGUCCCUGCGGGUAAUCAGAGCCGGUGUCUCCAUGGGGAGCGAGGUGGCUCACCACCCGCAGAUUGUACCGAGUCGUGACCCUGCACGGGUGCAGAUGAGCCAGGUUGAGUGGCGGCUGAUUAUCUGCCUGUCUCAGCAAUCAUUUUCUCAAUCAGGAUGAUUCUAAUUGGCUUUGAAAUCAGUUCUCUUUGCUCUCCAUAAGCAUCCACUUAUUUCUUGGUUCUGGCAGUGGAAAAGCAGAAUUGAAGUCAGCGUGUUCCCGUGACGGUAUCUGAGGGCCAGGAGUCGGCUUCCAGGAGACGGGUGUGGAAUGCGUGCGCCCCACGCGCUGGGGGGCCGUGUGGCCCUGGGUGGGUUUCAGCUGCACGCUUCCCCUCCCUUCCCUGGACGUCAGAGUGAGCGAGCAGGGGGCGUGGCAGGUGUUUCUGGGCGUUCCCCAAGGCUCAGAGCCCCGGCGUCCCAGGCGCUGCCCGGUGCCUGGUGGGCCAGGAGUGAGCCGUGGGGACGCAGGGCUGGCCUCCCUGCCGCACUCCCGUCCCGCGAGGGUCCCCGGCCGUUGGUGCCCACCUGCUGCCUGCCCCACGGUGCGGUUCACUCAGCUGUACUCAAAAGUGCCCACCAGUGGCUGCUCCCCGAGUGGCAGGCAGGGCUGCCCGGGCUCAGGAGGCCUCGUGCCUAAAUUACCAGAGGUGGCGCUGCUGCCGCCUUGUUCUGGAGAGCGUAGUUAAGGACGCGCUGCUGCAGGCGCUCGGUCCCGGGUUGGUUGGCAGUGCUGGGCAUGCGCCCCAGGGCCUCCCUCGUGCUAGCCAAGUGCUCCACACUGAGCUAACCCCACGUCCCUUUUUCAGAUUUAAUUUUGAGACAGGGUCUCACUGAGUUGCCCUGGUUUGCGACCUCCUGCCUCAGCCUCCCGAGUCACCGGGGUUGCAGGUGUGGCCACGGGCUGCUUCCCGCUGUCUUUCACACACUGGGUUGGGUGGUACUGUCCUCAGCCUCACUGUGACCACCUUCAGGCAUCCUGUGCUGUGAAUGGAAUCAGCCAAGUCCACCUGUUUUCCUGUGGCCUGUGAGUGAAGAAGUGCUUUGCAUUUUUAAUGUCUGCAACAAAAGAUCUGGAUGUUUUGCGACAAGCUCAAAUUAAGUGGGGCUCACAUUCUGAGAUCAUUAGUAAGCUCUUCCUGGCACACAGCCACGCCCACCUGCUUCUGCAGUGUCCACGGUGGCUUUUAGGUCGGGGCAAAGCUGCUGUCAGCCAGACUGGCCCCUUGCAGCUCCUGCCCCGGCCACUUCUCUCUGCCCGCCCCAGUGGUUUCCUCCUGAGGUGCUUCAGGGGCCAGAGGUCUGGCUCAGAAUGGGGAGCAGCUCUCUCCCCGCCAGGGAGCCCACUGUUCCUUUCUGUCAUCCACAGUGUUGCUGUCAAAUGAGGAGGAGGGGAACACGCAGCUCAGCUCCUAUUUUGCAGCAGGUGAUACAUAUUUGGCAAAUGAACAGUGAACAAUUCAGACUGAAGUGUGUCUAAUGAGCCUGGCCCCAGCCCGAGGCGCUUUCAGGUAGCUCGCUAUCUCCCUCCUCCAGGAGUCGGUUCUGAAGGGGGGGAUCACUCAGGGCGUUACCAGUUCUCCCCGGGGAAUACUAGGGAUCAGUAACUUGGCACCAGGUUGUUCAUUUAUUCCUCGUCUAUAAAAUAUUCAAGGGCACAAAGUGCAUAUGCAUUAUAAUUUGCAUCGUAGGCAGAAAGAAAACCCAGAGGAUUACUGAUAAAUAAAAGCGUGACUUCCCUUGUCCCACGGUUUGCUGAUGUUUCUGAAAGCAUUUGGGAAGAAAGGCGGCCGGCGCCUGGGUCGGUAGGGGACAGGUGAGCGACAGGAGCGUGCCGGGCCACAGCUGUAACAUGCAGUCACGCUCGGUGAGGAGCACAGGUGACCAGCAGAUUACUAACGGGCAGGCGGUUAAAUAGCACCAUUCAAAGUGCUGGUUUAGAUACUACAACAAAGCUGCCUCUGGCGCAGCGAGAGUGGCGGAGUGUCACCUGGGGAAUGGAGUACUCUCCCCACCAGCAAAGCAGCUCAACUUCGCCCUCUCUCCACACACUUCCGACUCUGCUAAAAUGCUUGCGGUUUGAAAGUGAGCACCACAGAAGAACAUUCCAGACUGUGUGUCUUUUAAAGCUAUCAGCACCGUUUGGUUGUGUGAAGGGGAAGUGAGAACAGCUUCCGCUAUUAGGACUCCUCCAGCCCAAAGCUGCUGGGCCUUCCGGACACAGGUAAGGGCUCUCAUUCGCAUGCAGCGAAUGCUUGGAUUUCAGUGUAGGUGUGACGCUGUCUCCCUGGACCAGGAUCUGGAACCAGUUCACUGGUGCCCAUGUCCUGGCCAGUCCGUCUGUCCCCAGGUGGCCUCUUUCAACACAGCAGCGGUGGCCUGGCCUUGAACCUCAGGGUCGCUCCCGUUGGCACCACGUCCAGGAAGACACCAGACCCUGGGCCGUGCCUUGGCACUGACUCUCCCAGGAGAGUGGGAGCUGAGGUUGGUUGAGACUGCGUGGUGGGGUUCACAUGGCACAGGGCUCAUGAGACGCACGCUCUGGUCCUUGGUGAAGCUCAUGAGGAGCCAGCCUCUUGGAAGACAGUUCAAGCCAAGCCAGCGGGCUUCUUUAGCGGGGCAGCCGUCUGUAACCUGAUUGUCCUGAUUUUUCUCCAGUGUAAAAUGUAUGCGGAGCGAUGGUGGCGGGUGUGCUUCGCAUUCCAAGAAGGGGAGACGGAGUUGAUGGGGAUGGAGGGAGGCUGUGUUUCCGCCUCUCACGGAGUUAUUUUUAUUAAAAACUGGCACCUUCCAGCUGGCACUGUGGCGCCCAGCUGUAAACCCAGCAGCUUGGGAGGCUGAGGGCAGGAGGAUCCAAGAUCAAGGUCAGCCUUACAACUUGUGAGACCCUGUUUCAAAAUAAAAGAAUAAAAAGGGCUGGGGAUGUGGCUCAGUGGUAUGUACCCCUGGGUUCAGUCCCCAGUGCCAAACAACAACAACAAACAGAGGAUUUCAUCUUUAUACAAAUCAGGUCAACCAAAUCCUAGCUCUCAGUGAAGCCCAGGCCGGGCCUUGUGUCUCGGGAUCCCUAGGUUGCAGCCACUCCUGCCUGAAGAACAGGGGCCGUGUCGGGUUAGGGUACCUUCUAGAGAAACCCUCACGCUGUGAUGGAUUUUAGAAGUAGAUUUGCCCCCUCUCUGAGGCGUUCAGAUCAGCAGUCACCCAUGACGAUGGGGAGUUCCCCCUGCUAACCGGGCGCAGCAAGGGGCCAGGGUGCCCCCAGUGAGCUGCUUCCUCCCACCAAGCACCCGGUUCCGGUUCCCACCAGCUCCCAGUACUGCCACUGAAUUGUGAGUCCCUCAGUGGAUUCCAGAAGGACAGGAGGGUCAGAGGCCCGUGACCCAGUCAUUCCCGGAGCCCGGCUCUGAACACUGCAGCAGGGACCAAGUCUUCGGCACGGCACCUGAGCCCGUGGGGACAUUCCGGAUCCAAGCCGUAGCACACACCCACACGCACACACAGAAGGCCCUGUGGAGACGGAGGCAGAAGUGGCAGAUGCUUCUGCAAACCGAGGGUCUCCAAAGACCGAAGACCACCACCAGACACUCAGAGAGGGACGUGGGGCAGAUUCUCCCAGAGCCUCGGACAGGACCAGUGCUGCAGAUGCCUCCUUUUGUACUUCUAGCCUCCAAACCAGGAGAAAAUACAGUUCUGUAGUCCUAAGCCACAAGUCUGUGACACGUUGUUAUGGCAGCCACAGGACACUCAUACUAGACAGUGGGCCCCCACGUUUAUGGUUGCAUGAUCCCCAGUUAUCCAAGUCAACUGUAAUCCAAAAAUAUUAAACGGAAAA